Molecule: ribosomal RNA, 422 nt
Filed under: uncultured bacterium
Lineage: Bacteria
Description: bacterial SSU rRNA
Rfam family: Bacterial small subunit ribosomal RNA
Source: RNAcentral
GGAAUUUUGGACAAUGGGGGCAACCCUGAUCCAGCAAUGCCGCGUGAGUGAAGAAGGCCUUCGGGUUGUAAAGCUCUUUUGUCCGGAAAGAAAUCCUAUCCGCUAAUACCGGGUGGGGAUGACGGUACCGGAAGAAUAAGCACCGGCUAACUACGUGCCAGCAGCCGCGGUAAUACGUAGGGUGCGAGCGUUAAUCGGAAUUACUGGGCGUAAAGCGUGCGCAGGCGGUUGUGCAAGACAGAUGUGAAAUCCCCGGGCUCAACCUGGGAAUUGCAUUUGUGACUGCACGGCUAGAGUGUGUCAGAGGGGGGUAGAAUUCCACGUGUAGCAGUGAAAUGCGUAGAGAUGUGGAGGAAUACCGAUGGCGAAGGCAGCCCCCUGGGAUAACACUGACGCUCAUGCACGAAAGCGUGGGGAGCAAA